This 253-nucleotide ribosomal RNA is filed under the name uncultured bacterium. RNAcentral describes it as "partial 16S ribosomal RNA". It matches the Rfam family "Bacterial small subunit ribosomal RNA", at positions 524 to 776 of the family's 1533-position model. The record is from RNAcentral.
UACAGAGGGUGCAAGCGUUAAUCGGAAUUACUGGGCGUAAAGGGUGCGUAGGUGGAUGACUAAGUCAGAUGUGAAAUCCCUGGGCUUAACCUAGGAAUUGCAUAUGAUACUGUUCAUCUAGAGUUCGAAAGAGGUAAGUGGAAUUUCCGGUGUAGCGGUGAAAUGCGUAGAUAUCGGAAGGAACAUCAGUGGCGAAGGCGACUUACUGGUUCGAUACUGACACUGAGGCACGAAAGCGUGGGGAGCAAACAGG